UACGGGGGGAGCAAGCGUUGUUCGGAUUUACUGGGCGUAAAGGGCGCGUAGGCGGUCAGCACAAGUCAGUUGUGAAAUCUCCGGGCUUAACUCGGAAAGGUCUACUGAUACUGUGCGACUAGAGUGCGGAAGGGGCAACUGGAAUUCUCGGUGUAGCGGUGAAAUGCGUAGAUAUCGAGAGGAACACCUGCGGCGAAGGCGGGUUGCUGGGCCGACACUGACGCUGAUGCGCGAAAGCCAGGGGAGCGAACGGG
Molecule: ribosomal RNA, 254 nt
Filed under: uncultured bacterium
Lineage: Bacteria
Description: partial 16S ribosomal RNA
Rfam family: Bacterial small subunit ribosomal RNA
Source: RNAcentral